AUACUUCCCUGGCAGGGGAGACACCAUGAUCAGAAGGUGGUUUUCCCAGGGCGAGGCUCACCCAUUGCACCGCCGGUGUGCUGACCCCUGCGAGUUCCCCAAAUGAAGGAAACUCAACUGCAUAAUUUGUGGUAGUGGGGGACUGCGUCCGCGCUUUCCCCUG
Small nuclear RNA from Echinops telfairi (small Madagascar hedgehog), 163 nucleotides. RefSeq annotates it as U1 spliceosomal RNA. The transcript has a single exon. NCBI's taxonomy places the organism in Eukaryota, Metazoa, Chordata, Mammalia, Afrosoricida, Tenrecidae. The record is from RefSeq and is a predicted model, not a curated record.